CAAAGUUGAGCACGUGAAGCUUGCAGCUCCCACUACAUCGCUCUGACCAAGAAAGGUAAAAGAAUAGCAAAGAAACAGCACUAACAAAGUUUAGACACAUAAAUUUUGAAGGUCUAGCUACCAUAUUAUUACCCACAAGGGUAAAGGAACAGUACCACUGCUGGAUAAUUGGAAAGUCCCUGUGUGUCAACCUCUGUGCUUCGUGGCAAGGUAGACUAGCAAACAUGCCCAACCUUUACUCACAUUCGAGAAAACACUCCCAACAAGAUUGCUUGCUCCAAAAUCGAAGAGGCACCGUCCUCCGAAUCUCGAGAGCCAGACUCCCAACAUGACUACUUUCUCAAAAUCGAAGAGAGGGUAAAGGAACAGUACCAUUGCUGGAUAAUUGGAAAGUCCCUGUGUGUCAACCUUUGUGCUUCGUGGCAAGGUAGACUAGCAAACAUGCCCAACCUUUACUCACAUUCGAGACAACACUCCCAACAAGAUUGCUUGCUCCAAAAUCGAAGAGGCACCGCCUUCCGAAUCUCGAGAGCCAGACUCCCAACAUGAUUACUUCCUCAAAAAUCGAAGAGACACUGCUCUCCGAAUCUCGAGAGUCAGACCCCCAGCAUGAUUGCUUUCUCAAAAAUCGAAGAGGCAUCGUUCUCCGAAUCUCGAGAGCCAGAUACCACAGACCACUUUUUCAAAGUGCUCUGACAGAGUUAAAACAUGUGAAACUGGCAGCUCCCACUACCGUGCUAUGACCAAGCAGGGUAAAGGAAUAGCAUUACUACUUGUUGUUAGGGAGACUCCUAUAUAUGUCGACCUCCAUCCCCAACGGACAGGCAGACCUGCAAAAAUGCUCAACCCUUCAUCAUAUCUGAGAGGGCACUCCCAACGAAGCCUUUCGAAAUAUUCAGCUUUCUUUCCCCCCGAUAAUACCUCUGCAAACAAGCUAUACUAGAGCAAGAAUAUCUCAUAUCAUCAGGGUUAAAAGCAAGAGUAUCCCAUAUCAUGCUUUUUCCCUGUCUUUUCCUUUUGGCCUUGUUUUUACCUGCAAGACAAGGAGAAAGAGAGCAAUCAGUCAGCACUUGGAAUCAAGCUUCCAGCCAGGAACUGACUGCCUGGAACCCCUUACCUGAUUACUUACCUGGCAUUGCUCUCGAGUACUCAUCUUCAACAUCUUAUGUUUCCAGGGAAGAUUCCGCAUCUGCUUGAGGAACAGAUAGGGCAAGUGCGAAGGAUACAAGGAAGCAUGUGGAGACAAGCGUAACAGCACACGUGCCGAUACAUCCAUUACUCUGUCAAAAGCAAAAGUAUCCCAUAUCAGCAGGGUGGAACGUACUCUAGAUUUGAUGGACUUGUUUUGACCCUCAAAUUCUUCAGUCGGCCUUAUACUCUGGAGGAAACCAGAAAACCCUCCAGCUCAGUUCAAGAAUAAGCCUGUGGAAAGUUACUUCUUCAAAAGCAAAAGUAUCUCAUAUCAUCUCUUCUCAUUUUUCUUCUCUUUAUCCUUCAUGCUGCUGCAAGAUGGGGAGAAGGUGAACAAUCAGUCGGAGCUCUGAUUGCUUACCUUGUCUGUCACCUCUUUCAGCAGACCCCCUAGCUCGGCGACUUGGGGGACUCCUACUACAUGGUUUGUAUCGCGCUUGACCAAGCCUGAAACUACAAGUAAGCUUCAAGUGAAAUUGAUACAUUACCUUGUGCAUCUCCACCAGUUAAAGAUACCACCCCUGGAUGGAGGAAGAGUACUUCCAGAGAAGAUGCCACAUCUACCUAUGAGACAGAUAAGGCAAGUCAAGACGACACCACACUCCGAUACUUAGAAGUUUCGUGAUUACGAGAUCAUUCUCCCACAAUAUUUCCUAAUGUCAUUUGUACUAAAUCAUUCACUUGUACUCACUAAAGGAGAGCUUGAACCUAUGUACUUGUGUAAACCCUUCACAAUUAAUGAGAACUCUUCUAUUCCGUGGACGUAGCCAAUCUGGGUGAACCACGUACAUCUUGUGUUUGCUUUCCUAUCUCUAUCCAUUUAUAUACUUAUCCACACUAAUGACCGGAGCAAUCUAGCGAAGAUCACAAAAAGCGACCGUUUUCGCUACCUAGGAUCUAUCUUGCAAGAGAACGGAGAAUUAGAUGGAGAUCUCAACCAUAGAAUACGAGCUGGAUGGAAAGAGUGCAUCCGGCGUGUUGUGUGACCGUCGUAGGCCACUGAAGCUCAAGGGAAAAAUUUUAUAGGACGGCAAUAAGGCCAGCGAUGUUGUAUGGCACAGAAUGUUGGGUGGUGAAGCAUCAACACGUACACAAAAUGGGUGUAGCGGAGAUGAGGAUGCUUCGUGGGAUGUGUGGGCACACGAGAAAGGAUAAGAUUGGGAAUGAGGAUAUCCGAGGUAAAGUAGGAGUAGCCGAAAUUGUAGGAAAGAUGAGAGAAAAUCGGCUCUGGUGAUUUGGACAUGUGCAAAGAAGGCCGACUGACGCUCCGGUUCGAAGAUGUGACUACGGGACAGAGGUUCAGGGCCGAAGGGGUAGAGGAAGACCUAGGAAAACUUUGGAAGAGACUCUAAGAAAAGACUUAGAGUACUUGGAUCUAACGGAGGGCAUGACACAAAACCGAGCGCAAUGGCGUUCUAGGAUUCAUAUAGCCGACCCCACUUAGUGGGAAAAGGCUUUGUUGUUGUUGUUGUUGUUGUUUGCAUAACAAAAAAAAAAUUGUGAUCGAAAAAACAUAUCUGGAACAAGAGAAAAUAUUGGUUAAUUACUACUAUCUCCACUAAAUAAGAAAAAGUGCAUCAUGAAGAUAAAAUGAUAAAUUCAAAAAGCACAAAUGUUAUACAAAAAUUGUAGAGAAUUCUAAUUUUCUCAAAAAAAAAAAAAAAAAAAAAAAAAAAGAGGAAGACCCAAUUCAAGUCCUUCUGCUGCACCAUGUGCCUGCGUGGCGUGGUCCAAUUGGACGGAGAUCAAAUGAGACUCGCUGUCGAGUCCCUUGACGCACCACUCCUCUGCUGUUGUCUUGGUACCGCUUGUUCGUGUCCCAAACUCGAAACCUUGUCUCUCACACGAAUUCAAGCACUCACCUUUCGAGGUUUCGAUCCAUUUAUCAGGUAAUUUUUUCAUCAACUAAAACCUUAAUUUUGUUUCAAUCUCUGUAUAUGUAUGUCUGCAUCAGAAUCUAAUCUGCAUUAUUCCCUUUAAUUAGGACGAAUUGAAUUCACGGACUGGAUAAUCGGAACCGAAAGCCCCAUUUGUGGAUUCGAAUCGAGAUUGGAAUUUGCUCAAUUCGAGCGCUGGUUUGUCCAUGCUGGCAUUUAUUGUUCUUGUUUUCGAGUUUUGGGAAUUGGGUUUGUUGAAUUGUUGAAUUAGCAGUAGGUUUUUGACAAUGGAAGGUAAUAAGGAUGAAGCUUUAAGGUGUGUUCGGAUCGCCGAAGAAGCAAUUGCUUCCGGCAACAAAGGGCGUGCCUUGAAAUUUAUUAAGAUUGCACAACGGCUUAAUCAUAAUUUGCAAGUUGAUGAACUUUUGGCUGCGUGUGAGGCAAUUAAUUCGGGGUCUUCCGCGUCUUCUGUUGAUGAGAAGGGUGCUGGUGAGAUUAGGAAUGAGCCGGGCGUGGAGAAAUUGGGCUGCGGUUUGAAUGGGGAGGUUAGUUAUACCGAAGAGCAUGUUCAGUUGGUUAGGAAGAUUAAGAGAAACAAAGACUAUUACGGAAUUCUUGGCGUGGAGAAGACUUGCUCGGUCGAGGACAUUAGGAAGGCUUAUAGGAAGUUGUCAUUGAAGGUUCAUCCUGAUAAGAACAAGGCUCCCGGUUCAGAAGAAGCGUUUAAGAUAGUAAGCAAGGCUUUCAAGUGUUUGAGUGAUGGGGACUCUAGGAGGCAGUAUGAUCAGACUGGAUUAGUUGAUGAAUUUGAGUACAACCAGCAGCACAAUAAUACGAGGAGAAGGAGGAGGAGAGGUGGGAAUGACUUUUUUGACGAUGAUUUUGACCCCGAUGACAUAUUCAGGGCGUUCUUUGGUCAAUCAGACAUGUUUCGGUCAAGUCAUGUUUAUAGGACUAGUAGAACAGCUGGUCAUCAGAGGGAGGAGUCUCAGGGAGGGGGACCUAACAUCAUGCUUCUUCUUCAAAUAAUACCUUUUUUGGUAAUUUUGUUGUUGGCAUAUCUGCCCUUUUCAGAGCCCGUCUACUCUUUGCAGAAGAAUUAUAACUACCAGAUUCCCAAGACGACAGAGAAAUAUGGAGUGGAAUUUUUUGUUAAAUCGCAAGCAUUUGAUGAGAGUUAUCCCAUUGGAAGUGCUGGUCGAGUUAACGUUGAGAGCAGUGUUAUCAAGGAUUACAAAAAUGUGCUUGCACACUACUGUCGGGUUGAGCUUCAAAGGCGCCACUGGAGUAAGAAUCUGCCUACUCCUCACUGCGACAAACUAAAUAAGCUUGGAGUAGCAUGAAGGUAAGCUGUGAUAUUUUCUUUUUCAAAAAAUAGAGAUCUGUAACUUUUACUUGUUCGUUGUGUCAAAUGGUGCCAAUGUUUUCUGUUCAUUGUGUCCUUGAUUAGAACGUGUCUUCCACUUUCCUAACCUUAGCUUUUCCUAACCUAUUGUAUGAAUUGCGUGAUCCUGUACGGGAGUUUAAUGUUGCUCUUUCCUUUUGGUGCUAUGUGUGUUUUCAGCACAAAUUCAUAUUCAGCACAAGUUACUGACCCCUACUUAUUUCUCAGCAACUGUAAAGUUGUCAAAUUUAAGUCCUUUGAAGCAUAAGUUGUGGACAAUACCUAAGUUGCAGGGCCAAACACGAAAAGCAGUUUUCCGUGUUUGAGUACUCUUUGAGUGCUUUCAUUUUAGUGUAGAACUGUAUAUGCUUCCCAGCCUUGUUUCUACCCCUGGCCAAAAAAGUUAAUUUGAAUCCAUGUGUCCUGUUUCUUUGUUGGUUGGUAAUAUGGUAUCAUAUUUCAAGUUAACCAUUUUAACGACAUUCCGUAUUUUGACUUUUUAUCGAGCAGAGGCUAUAUGGCUGAAGUGGAUGUUUAGUGCCACUAUGUUGAGCCUGGACUUCAAAGUACAGUGGGUUGAUAUUGUAAAUGCUCCAGUCGACUUCUUUGGAAGUAACCAAGGAUUGCUUAUCCUCUCCAAUAUGACUGGCUGGCCAUACAGCUGUUCGGGAAUGUCAUCCAGGAUAGUGGUAGCGAGGGUUUUCAGCACCCUAAUGGGAUAUCAUUUGGCUAGAAAUAAUAGUGUACACAACUCUUGAAAUUACCUGGGAGGUCAAUACUAGUUACGAAAGUUUAUGAAAAGUUGAGCAAGAGGUUUGUGAUAGUGAUUAUUUUCGCUUUAUAACACUACAUUUUCUAUGUAUUCUUUUUAUCAGACUAUACGGUUGCUGUUUACAGUUUUGUUUUAUUUGGUUCAGAUAUUAAGCAUGCAUAUAUGCAAGUAGCGAGCCGUGCAGCUUAAGCAUCAGCCCUUAUCGUUCGUUAUUUGUUGUUUCGAAGAAUUUAUAUCGUUUCUUAGCUGACUGUUAAGCAUAUCUUGUCCUUGACCAAUGCAUAUAGUAUGGAGGAAACUAUGUUGCUUUGAUUUAGCUCUAUUGUCUUAUGCCAGUGUCUUGAUUUUCAAUAGAGUUGUUAGAGAACAGUUUAAUCCUCAGUGUUGCAGACAAGUCCUCGUCCUCCAAGGAUACAUGUGAUGUAUAGCGCAAGAGUCUGCUUGCCUCGGAGUCGUUCAGGGUAUCGAAACAGAAGGACACUGGUGUCCUAUGGAUGAGUUAAAGAACAUCUCUGAUGGGAAUGUAGGAUAUCUUUACAGUUUUAGUUCUGAAUGAAAAUGCAUGGUUGCUCCUGUUCAUUGCAACUUCAUGAGAUGUUCAAUAUCAGAAAUUGAGAUACCUCCCUAACUGACUUCUUUUACUGUGCUCGGGUCAUCCGUCUAAGUAGGGGCGGACGCACGUUAAGGCAAGAAAGGGCAGCUUCCGGUUCGGAGGCCGAAGUUCGACCAUUCAUUCGAUUAAGGGUCUUUGGGUCUGAAUUUCUAUCACAUGCCUUUGUAAUGUUUAUAUGAUACAUUCCUAAUCUUUCACAUAUAACAUUUUGUGAGCUGUUCAUUAUUAACACGACAUCAAUCCCUUGGCACUUGAAAAUUUGUCACUCAAAUAUGUCAUCGACAUAACGCAAAAGGGGAAGCGAGCCAUGAGGAGUGAGAGGUGGCAUUGCCCUCGGGGGCGGCUGUUCUUUAUGUUUUUUUCAGUUAAAAAAAAAAAAAGGUUUUAUGAUUAAGCCACGUGUCACCAUUUGAUUAGAUAAGUGGAUUCACUUGUGUGUCACAUCAGCACUCUAACAAAACAAAAUUGACAUAAGGUUAAGAGAAGGACCAGAAUAAUUUGGAGUCAUUUUUCAAGACCAAAUUGAUGAAUUCCCUAUUUCAAAGACUAUUUUAAUUGGAAUGGUCAAUUUUAGAGACCAACUGUAAAACUCACUUAAUUAUAAUUGGGUUUUUAUCACAAAUAGUCUUUGAAAUUGACUCUCACUAUUAAGAUGGUCCCUGAAAUUGAAAACCAAUCAAUGUAGUCCUUGAAAAUAUGUGUCGCAAAUCAAUAUGGUCAUUUUUUCACAAUUUUGUUAAAAAUUCCAUUAAGUGUUGGUCUAGCAUAUAAAUGAGUCCCAUAAGUCCUUUUUUCUCACAAAUGGUCAUUGAAAUUGACAUGUGAUAUCAAAAUAGUCCUUGAAAUUGACUUGUGACAUCAAAUGGUCAUUGAAAUUGAAAAUCAAUCAAUGUAUUCCCUCAAGUAAUUGUCCCAAAUCAAUUUAGUUAUUACGUCACAAUUAUGUAAAAAAUUCUAUUAUGUGCUGAUGUGACACAUAAAUGGAUCACACAAGUCUAAUUAAAUUAAAUAAAAAUUACAAAUAUGUUUAAUAAUUUAAUAGUUAAUAAAAAGUUAUGAACCAAAAAACCCAGUCCUGCAAUCACCUCCGAUCCUAGUCCACAUUUCUCUAACUUCUUCAUUGUCUAUUCUCUAAAAAAAAUCUCAAUACACUCAUCUUUACACAUUUCGACACCCUUCACCGAAUUGAAUCUAGAUCGAGAUCACCAUUGGUGAGGGUCAAUUUCAUUGUGCAACCUAGAUCGACACACUUUGACACUCUAUUCGGAGUAGGUCCUACUAUAAGAAAAAAAAUUCUAUUGUGCAAAAAGGUAUUUGGACAGCUCUUUUAAUUUUUUAUUAAAUCUACAUCAACACAUAACAAAUUUUUUUAUAGAAUUGUGGCGGAAUGAUUAUAUUGAUUUGCGACACAUAUUUUCAAGGACUACAUUAAUCGAUUUUUAAUUUAGUGACCAUCUUGAUGGCGUGGGUUAAUUUCAGGGACUAUCUUGAUGGUGUGAGUCAAUUUCAGAGACCAUUUGUGAUUAAAAAAAAAAAACCUGUAAAUCUUGUGGGGCCCAUUUAUGUGCUACUUCAGCACUUAACAUAAUUUUUAAUAGCAAUGUGAAGGAAUAACCAUAUUGAUUUGCGACACAUAUUUUCAAAGACUACACUGACCGAUUUUUAAUUUUAGAAACCAUCUUGACGAUGAGGGUAUUUUCCAAGAAUCAUUUUUGAUAAAACCCCAUUAUAAUUUUGUUCAAAGAAGGAAGGAUCUUUUGCUUCUUUCUCCAUCAAUUUUGAAUUUCGUAUCAUGUUCCACUUCACUUUCUUCCGGAUCUCAGAUUCGCAAAGAUCCCCAUUUCUUCACUACUUCAUUUAUUGAUAUAAUUACAGACUAAUGAACUUAAAAAAGAAAAUCAUCAAUCUUGAGCCCAAUGCAUUCAAAACUAAAAGAGAUGAGAUCAAAAGGAGUGUCCACGUGCACUCGUGAAAGAAAGAACAAUUGAGGUAAUUUCUUUCCACCAUUUUUCACUUUUGAACACAAUUUUUUAGCACAGAUCUAAUAAAAAUCAAGAACCAAAAUUAAAAAGGCGUGCAAAACGUAAAAAUGAAUGUACAGAAAUUACUUCCUUCAACACAAAAGUACAAGUCGCAAAGAGACCGCAGGCAACACCGCGUCUCGCACCGGCACUGUCCCUCAACUAUUUUCAAUGACCAAAAUAUCCUCAUAUUAUCACCCCUUUCCAUUUGUCACCUGGUUAUUCCCUCUAAUUACAAUUCAACCCCACUCCAUGUUUAUUCAUACAUGAUAAGAAGUUCAAGUACGUAUCCCAAUACUAGUACUCCUGUAUCCCUUCCAAGCUGUAUAAUUCUCUGUAAAUAAAUACACACUUACAAGCAUUAAAACUCGGCAGAAUCCACGCCGUAACUACUCCUCCCCUUCGUCGUCGCCGCCGCCGCCGAAGAUCGAAACCUUGUUGUAAAGAAGGAAUAAAACGAGGCAGAGAAACAAUGCAACCCCAACCGGCGACGGCGAGCCACUAAUGCUGUGGGUGGUGUAGGGAUCCCCGGUCGAGAACGAGGAGACGAAGGAGCCGCUGGAAGACAGGAACUGAAUGAUGAUCACGAGGAGAAUAAUGGGGAGAAGGAGAAAACCCAACUGACUCAAAAGCUCGCUGAAGGCUUCGAUUAUGGCCCCCCCUUGUUCACCUACAUAGGACGGCACCACGAACAACGCCACGACCACCAACGCUAGUAGAAUCCCGUGGGGGGGCAGUUCCGGCGUGCCUCUCCUGAUGUAUCAUUUUUGUGUGUUGUGUUUUUUUGGUAAGACUUUUGUGUUUUGGUUGGGGCGGGUUGGAGGGAUUAAAAUAGGGUGGCUGUGAUGCGUUUGGCUGAGGUUGUGACUUGUGAAGUGGUUUUCUAAGGAGUGACUGGAGACUGAUAAAAUUGAUGUGGAUGGCAUGUGUUAUUAUAUGUUUGCUAUUUGGGUGACUCUUAGAUCUAAAUUUGAGUUUUUUAUUCGGGUUGAUGAUGAUGAUGGAUUGGAACAAUCAAAAUUCAAAUGGAACUUUCUUUUUGUCUUGGUUAUAAAAACAAAAGAAAAGGACUGAAUUAGGUUAGCAAUUUUGUUUUGCUCCGGUGAUUUGUUUGUGUCGCUUAUGCGAUUUAUGUGGCCUCAUUGUCGAUGGUUUUAUGUCAGGUACCAGUGUUAGGAUUGUCGCGUCUGCCUUCUUUGUGAUAGUUUUAUCCGGGGCUCCUGUUCGUGGUGGUCUAUUGUGUAGACGUAUAGGAGUUUAAAAUUAUUUGUAUCUUUUGCAAACUAUUUCCAGAUCAAGAAAUUCAUCACUGGAGAAAUUGUACCCAUCUGGCACCUCUUGUGUUUGGUUGUUGAUAGUAAUUAAGCACUCUAUUGCUUAUGUCAAAAAAUAAAAAAGAAAAGAAAAGAAAAUGAUUGAAUUAUUAUUUUGGCCACUGUAGUUUCAGUUUUCACGAUUUGGAAAUUACAAAAUGAUAGUUGUAGCAAUUCAAGGACAAUAACUUGUGUUUUAUUUUUAAAGAAACUAUAAAAAAAAAUGGGCACAUAAAAGGUGUUAUCUACAUGUAAAAGUUUAUCUUAUCCUCACGCAUGCUCUAAUUUUAUCGGAAAUUAAUUUAUUGUCCUUAAAUUACAAUAUUAGUAAGCAACAUGCAUCAUGAAAACGAUAUAGAUGAAAGUAAAACUCCGCCCAAACUAAAGCGACCAAAACCAUAAUUUAGCAAAAGAGAAAUAUCAAAUAAAAGAGGCAUAUGGUGUGGAAGAAGAAAAUUACAUUCCUUUCCAAUUUUCCAACAAAUGCUAAGGGACAUAUUUGUUUCUUGUCAAUUUGUAAUUAAGUGGCAUGGUUUUAGACUGCUUUUUUGUGUGGGCAGAAAUUCUCAGAAAAUGUAAUGGAUUGUAUUUUGAUUUACUCGCCUGACCGAGUAACCGAGUGACGAGUCUGUGUAUGGAAUUGUGAAAUUACACAGAAGGUUCACACCGUUUAGGACCAGACUAGGAAGGUACCUGCAGAAUGCAGGUUGCAGCCAUUACCACAAAUGUUGGAGUCACAUUCAAACAAAAGAUCUGGGAAUUGGGAAGUGAAUGUGGGAAUCAAAAGCAUCAAACAUUGGGAUUUCAAGGGUAUUAGCAAGGAGGUGGAGCUUCACAUCUUGGACUCAUUUGAGACAAUUUCUUCCAGAGACCUCUAUAUGAAGAUAGCAGAAUGUAUGAAGUUUUAGAAGAACAGAAAAUUAUAUGAAAAUAUUGAGAGAAAAUGAUAGAUGUAAAAUGUAUUUGAUUUUCCUUACUGUGUUGUUUUACAAUUCACACUUAUAUAAGUGUUUCCAAAACUCAAUCUUACAAAGUAAGUAACCUCCUUUUAACUACCUCCUUAUGUCAACCAACUAUCUCCUUAUUCCAACUAACUAUAUCUCUAACCACUAAGAUUCCAACUAACAUACCAGCCUUUAUAGUCUCUUGACAAGUGGCAUUAGUUACCCACUGAUAUCCUUUUCACUUGGACCACUAUUUUCCACUUCAUUCUUCUUACACUCUAAAGCAGUAAGGUCGAGUUUGUUCAAAUUCGACAUAUCCAUGUCACAAAUUGACAAGAUUGUGGUUAGUGCAAUGGAGACAAAAUUUAUCAAUCCAUUCCUGUAGGAGUAGAACAUUCGGGAUCUAUUAGACAUGUGUUGGUUUAAAUUUUCAUGAAAAACUUCGGAUUUUUCAUGGGUGCAAUGUUUUAGGAAAACAUCGGGUUUUCAAAGCAUAUUCAAAAACUUCGGGUUCGAAAAAUAUAUGAACUUCAGGUUCAUGGGUUUCUACAAGCAAACACAAUAUAUACAUAAAAGUAUGCAACAGAUAAAUGCACGUAGGUCUUCAGGGCAUACGACAAUAAUUUUAUGAAUUGAUGAUUUUUUGUUAUUGAGCUUCGGGCCAAUAAAGAGUGAUGAACAAAAAGUAAUAAAACCCAAUAGUCCUCAACCUGUGAGGUCUUGUUCAACGAUCUGCUUAAGAUGUUGAACUGCUUGUGGAACCCAUGUAAGGGUGAAAGUUGGGAACGUAGUGAGCUGCUCCCAUACCUUCUUCAAGUAUUGCGCCAUCCUUGGAUGAUCCGUCAUGUGCUCUUUUGAGGCUUAGUUGGUGGCCAGCUGAAAAUCUAAAUGGAUUGCAAGUUUCUUCACCGCUAAGUCUGUCGCUAGCCAAGGGGGUUGCUGGUUAAAACCUCAUGUUUUGCUUCGUCAUUGAAUAUUUUGAAGCCUAGAGUGUCAUAGGCCUAGUCGGCACAGCUGGGAGUUGCGGAGCAUGAGUCCACGCGAUGGGGAGCCGUAAAGCAUGAUCUGGCAUGACAAGGAGCCGAUGUGCAUGAUUGGCACGACUGGGAGCUGUGGUGCAAGAUCGAGGGCAUCCAGGAAUUACAGAGCAGGUAGGCACGACUGUGAUGGUUUUGCCCUGUGCAUUUAGGGUUUGUACGCGCAUCAAAAGUUUACCAAAAAUUGGUGGAAAUUAAGGUAUUUAUAAGAGGAGGUGACCGACCAUAGUGUUAGAGUUUUGCCCACACAUGGCGGCAUCCUAUUGGCCAAGGUGUGUCAGUCAUUGGAUGAAUGAGGAAAGAAUAUUCCCAAUAUAUUAAUUAGGAGGUAAUAUCUUGGGAUAAUGGUGGAAGUAUCCUUGAUUGGUUAUGAGGAGGAUUCCUUACUUCAUGUGGUUGAUCUUCAACUAGGAACGUAUAAAAGAUAGGAUUUGGUGAUUAAUCCUAUCUUUAAUGUCUUUGACUUUUCCAUGCCACGAGCAGAGGAGCUUUGAACAAUCGUAGUCCAUUGCUUGAACUUCCAAGGAUGUUGAGCUGCAUGUGGGACUAGGGGUGGUUCGGUAUGGGAUCCCAUACCGAAACCCUUGUCCCGAUUCCCAAACCAAAAAUUUCGGGAAUCCCAAUUUCAAUACCGAUCCCAAACCAAAUUUUCGGGAAUCCCAAUUUUCGGGAAUCCCGAAAUAGUUUUGGGAUUUCGGGACAAAUCGGGAAUCCCGAAAUGAUUUUGGGCUUUUGGGCUUUUAGGCUUUUGGACUAAAAUAUUAUGUUUUUGGGCUAAAAUUGAACCUUUUAACACUUUUGGGUUGCAAUCUGCUAAGAAGCCCGUUGCAAUAUGUGCCAAUUGCAAGUUAUGUCAAUUUAAAUGUAGAUGCUACAAUUGCAAGACUUUGCCAAUCUGGAUUCAAAUGUAGAUGCUACAAUUGCAAGACUCUGUCGAUUUAAAUCAUUCAUACAGAAAUAUGUGCAACUAUUGAAGCCUUCAUUUUCUAUGGACUCUAUCGAUCUAAAUAUAUAUUUAAAAAUUAAAUAAUAUAUUUUUUUUUUCGGUUCGGUUUGGGAAUACCAAAAUCCCAAAAACUUGAGACCGAUUCCCGUACUGAAAUUUCGGGAUUGGUUCGGUAUUAGGUGCCGAAAUUUUCGGGAAUUUCGGUUUGGGAUUUUUUCAGUUUGGUUUCGGGAAUUUUUCGGUUUGGUUUGGGAUUUUUGGGAUUUUUUUCCAGCCCUAUGUGGGACUAUUUUUGUGUCUGCCUAUUUAUUGAGGGCAAUAUUGUCUUCUCGGGGAUAAAGUCCACAUGUCGUCUUUUGGAUUUUUGAGAUUUUUUUUGACUCCACAAUAGCCACGGGCUGGUGUUUAGAGCAACUCCACCGUUGCAAAGGCCCUAUAUGGCUAUUCACUAUUUAAUACACCCAGUGAACAGUAACUAUCUUUUGCAUUUCCACCCUACAUUGAAUAGCCCUGGCAAUAGACAGUAAAAUAUUAGUAUUUUAUUUAUUUAUAAAAUAAUACAAAAUAAUUUUAUUUGUAAUUUCGAAUAAUAUUUUUAAUUGUUCUAAUUGCGUCAUGUGUCAUUAUCCGAAAAGACAAUUAUUGGUGAUGGAUUUUGAUAAGAUUUUUAUCCAAUGUCGUCGUGCCAUGUGUCAUUACCUUUUCAAAAUCGUUAAGGAUAGAUUUCCGAUAAGAUUUUUAACCAAUGACGGCGUGCCACGUGGCAUUAUCUACAACCUAAUCCUUUAUGAAUCCUCCACAUAAUCCACUGUCCAUCCUCAUCAAUCUCACACCAAUUUUCUCAAGAUCUCUAUCAUUAUUCAUAGUUUUUGCUUCUUUCUUCACCAAAAUCAAAAUUUGUAUCAUUAUUCAUGGUUUCUGAUUCCUUCUUACAAUGUCUUAUUCUUCAAGGAUGAUGUGGGAAAUCGAUCAGUAAGAGGAAUAAUUGUUUAACCAAUCAGAAGGAAUGUUCAAUCUCCAGGUGGCCCAAAAUGAGAUGGAAGAUGAUGAGAAAUGUAGAAGGAGAUAUGACGAAGCAAGAAUGGCCAGACUUUACAUUCCCGUCGAGUCAUCCAAGCUGUGGCUCAGAUCUGCAAGCCCAGCGGUUCCACAAACCUUGAUAGAAGCAGGCAACGACGAGGUACAGAUCUCUUGGAUGAUUAUUUUGUCCGUAACAGUGCAUUCCUUGAUACGUACUUUAGACGUCGCUUUUGAAUAGAACAACAUUUGUUCAACAAAAUCAUGAUUGCUGUUUGCAACCAUGAUUCUUACUUUAUGCAAAAGAAUGAUGAUUUUGGUGUUAUGGGUUUCCUUCCUAAGCAAAAAAUAAAUGAUGUCUUGCGGAUGCUUGCAUAUGGAGCAUCUGCAGACUAAGUGGAUGAGAUAGUAAGGAUGGGGAAAUCAACCAUUCUUAAGUCCCUGAUGAGGUUUUGCGGAGCAAUCGAAUCCAUCUACACCGCAGAGUACCUCUAGAAACCUACUGAGAUGGACUUGCAAAGGCUUCUGAAGAAGGGUGAGAUGCAAGGUUUUCCUGGGAUGAUUGGAAUCAUCGACUGUAUGCACUGGACCUGGAAAAAUUGUCCAAUUACAUGGCAAGGCGCUUAUGAGGACAAAAAAAUGAGUAAAGAGUAUCAUUUUGGAGGCGGUGACAUCUUUUGAUACAUGGAUUUGACAUGCCUUUUUCGAGGUUCCUGUAGCUUAAAAUGACCUCAAUAUCCUUGCCAAUCCCCAGUAUUCAACGAUGUCCUGCAAGGAAAAGCACCAAGAGUCAUGUACUAGGUCAACAUACAUAAGUACCACAGGCCAUACCACCUAGCAGACGACAUUUAUCCAAGGUGGUCAUCGUUUGUCAAAAUAGUGCCACGUCCGCGAAGUGCAAAGGAAAAACACUUUGCAAGCUAUCAAGAGGGGUGCAGGAAAUAUGUGGAGCAUUGUUUUAGUAUCCUCCAAGCUCACUGGGCGAUUGUCAGGGAUGUUGCCAGAAUGUUUGAUUUAGAGUCGCUUCGAUCAAUUAUGAUGAUGUGCAUCAUUCUUCACAAUAUGAUUAUGGAAUAUGACUACGAUUAUGAUGCCGUUGAUGAAUAUGAGUCAAACACUUUGCAAGCUAUCAAGAGGGGUGCAGGAAAGAUGUGGAGCAUUGUUUUAGUAUCCUCCAAGCUCACUGGGCGAUUGUCAGGGGUGUUGCCAGAAUGUUUGAUUUAGAGUCGUUUCGAUCCAUCAUGAUGAUGUGCAUCAUUCUUCACAAUAUGAUUAUGGAAGAUGAGCACAAUUAUGAUGCCGUUGAUGAAUAUGAGCCAAACACGAUGAACAAUUCUAGAACACAAAUAUAUUGUGUUCAUGACGCCAUCGAAGAACCCGUGCAACAUGAGCCAUUAGAAAGGGAUGGACGUUACAAUGAAAGACUCAUUCAAUGAUAUACUGCACUUCAGGAGUCAUAUAUGCAUAAUGCUCGUCAAAUUGACUUGAUAGAUCACCAGUGGGAAGUCAAACAAGCUCAAGAUACUUAAGUUCAUUUAGUGUGUUUGUUUUUAUUUGGUGUGUUUAUUUAAUUUUAUUUGGUAUAUUUUUUAAGUUCAUUUAGUGAUUUUUUUAUUAUUUGGUGUGUUUAUAUCCUUUGAAUAAAGAUUGUCUUAGUUUAAAUAAAUUACCAAAUUAAAUAAAUAUACACUUAGUUUAAAUAAAGUACUCUAUUCAAUAAAUAAGAAAUUACAACCCAAAGUGAUCGGAAAAUUAUGGGCUCCGAUUACAAACAAAGUGAUUGGAAAAUUAUGGGCUCUUGAAUGGAAAAUCAUCACCUAACCAAUUUGUGGUGCUAGGAUCAUCUCCUCUUGCUCUCGCUUCUCUUGCACGCCUCAUUCGCACCACGCCCGUUUUCUCCGAAUUCCAAAAAUAUUGAGAUUUCAGAGACUUCCCUUCUAAAGGCGUGUUCAUAAUGUCACUAUCUCGUUGAGCCCUUCUUUCUUCUCUAAUCUCUUCCAUUUCUUGCCUAAGUAGCUAUCUUUCUUUCUCAUUAGCUUGAAAUUCUCUCUCAACAGCUGCAGCUUUUACCUCAUCUGUAGCCUUAUCAGCCUCAAAUUUAGCCAUUUCCCGCGCCAAAGUCAAUUCACUUUGGCGAGCAAGUUCUUCUACUUUGCAUAAUCAUUCUUGGAAGCACACAAUUUUCUCUUUAAAGCCUACUUACCUUGAGGCCUAAUUGGAUAAUGGGUAGACCUCGACGCUUGUUCAAGGGGGCAUAUCCGGCACUCCUUCUGUGUCAUCUUCAUGAACAUGCGAGGCAUGAUCGGGCGUAGAAUGUAGAGGGGCGUUGUUCAUGACAACCUCUGGACCGACAUGCACAACUCUGAAUUUAGGACAAUCUUUGACAACAUCCCAACAUUCCCACUGGGUGAAUGAUUGCUUUUUGUUUUUGGAUUUGGCAUUAUACCAAACUUGUGCUUGAAGUGUCUGCACAAUGCAGAAAAAGAAAUAAUUAUAAUCAAAGUAGCUAAUGUAAAUUUGGGUAUAGUACAAACAAAUAAAUAAAAUAUUGUUACCUGAUCCGCUAAAUUUUCCCCACUUCAAAGAUUACUGCUCGCUUAUGCCAAGGCGUCUCUCCACAUACUAAACGAUUGGCUGAGUAUUUUCCAACGACUGGACAUCGAUUCUUUAGUUCUUUUCCCACCAAUUUUCUCAAGAUAUUUGGUAUGAAUAAGACUCCACAUUUCUCGCAACUGCAUCUCAUUACCCGUAAUCGAAUCAUGAGUAACUUCAACCCAGCUAGUGCACAACGUAACAUCUUCAAUAAGCGUCCAAUUCGUACCUGCAUCAUUAGUCAUUUUGUUAGGAAAAAAAUUGGAUUGAAACUUUGAGAGAAAGAUAGGGAUGUGGUUGGAAGUAGUUGAGAAAAUAUGAAAUUAUGAUGUAAGGUAGAAAAUAAUGAGAAGGUAUUUAUAGAAAAGUAAAAUCAUUUUUUUUUAAUUUUAAAAUUUUUUUUCUUCGGAUUUUUAUUAAUUUUUUACAUUUUAAAAUUUUUUUUAUUCACAUAAUUAAUCUAUGUUGUUGGAUUAAAAAAAUUGAAAUCCAACACUCCAGAUUGUGCCAUGUCGCACAAUGGUAAGAUUUCAGAAUUUUAAACAGCUUUUUCUUUUUCUUUUUUAAUUUAUAAAGGCAAAUAAAGUGGACCAUUGAUCUCAGAUACAAUGGCUGAAAUUAUAUAAGGUUUAAAAAAAAAUUACCAUUGGAAAUCCAACGGUCCAUAAAAUGUUGCCGUUGAAAUCCAAUGGACAUGGGGAAGCCAUGUGGCCUCCCCAACAGUAACAUAUCAGAAAAGCGCCACGGGCUCCACGUCUAAAACCGUGUCGGACGACACACGCCAAUGCGUGCUUGAAGCGCAUGCGCCUGAUGCAAAAAAGAGAGAAAACAUGGCUGACGUCGCCGACGUUAGCCUUGCGUCACCUGGCCAUCGGGCUCUCGGGCCAGCUACUCUCGCCGGGCCUCUCCCUCAGAUCCCCUCGAGCUCAAUCGCCAGCUUGGGCUGGACCUUCUUGCUCGGGUGUUUUAGCACUGUUUGAUAGCCAGCCCAUCGGGCUAUCAGCUCUGGUGGAGCUGCUCUUAUGGGCCGAGCAAAAGAGAUGCAGCGGGCUGCUGCAAGCGAGCUCAAUAAUAAUUUUUUUUAAUUAUAGCUGCUGCAGGCAGAGGUACCAUGCCUAGUUUUGGGCUCGGACUGACUAGAAAAACACCCUAGCGCAUGUUGGGUGAGUUCACCAGAAAAAAAAAGGCCGGUGCCGCCGCUAUAGGUGGCCGUGUUUUUUUUUUUUUUUUUUUUUUGUAUGACUUUUGUGUUUUGGUUUGGUGGGUUGGAGGAUUAAACUAGGGGUGGAUGACGAGUUUGGCUGAGGGUGUGAAGAGCUUUUCUAAGAAGUGAUUGGAGAAUGAGAAAGUUGAUGUGGAUGGCAUGUGUUAUUAUAUAUUUGCUAUUUGGGUGACUCUUUAUUCUACGUUUGAGUUUUUAAAUGGGUUAAUGAUGAUGAUGAUGGAACUUUCUUUUUGUCUUUAUUUGGUCGAUUUUGUCUUCUGGUUAUAAAAAGAAAAGGACCAAAUUAUAAUAUGUCUUUUGGUUAGACAAAGAAAAAGACUUUAGAAUUAUUAUUUUGGUCAAUGUAGUUUCAGGUUUCACGAUUUUAAAAUUACAAAAUCAUAAUUAUUGCAAUUAAAGGACAAUAAUUCAUUAUUUUAUUUAACAAAAUUAUCACAGGUGGGCACAUAUUUGUUGUAUACAUGUAAAAGUUUAUUUUAUUCUGACGCAUGCUCUAGUUUUAUCAGAAAUUAAUUUAUUGUCUUUAAAUUGUACUAUAGUAAGCAGUAUGUAUCAUGAAAAUUAUAUGAAUAAAAGUCAAACUUGGUCCAAACUAAAGAGACUAAAACCAUAAUCUAGCAAAAAGAGAAAACAUCAAAUAAAAGAGCAUAUGGUACGCAAGAAGAAAAUUACAUUCGAUUCCAAAUUUUCAAUAAAUGUUAAGUGACAUAUUUGUUUCUGGUAAAUUAUUAAUUAAGUGACAUGGUUUCUCAGAAAAAGUAAUGCAUGAACUUGUUACUUCCAGACUAAGAAGGUACCUGCAGAACGCAGGCUGCAGCCAUUACCACAAAUGUUGGCGUCAAGUUCAAACGAAAUAGCUGGGAAUUGGGAUGUGAACGUGAGAAUCAGAAGCAUCAAACUUUGGGAUUUGCAAGGUUGUACCGUUGGUCGUAAUCGGUAUUUUAUUUUAUACAAGCGAAACUUAUGGUUGAGGAAUCGAACAUGAGAACUGACAUAAAAUUAAACGGGCAUAAUUUUAUUUAACUGAGCUGUUAACAUUAAUGUUCCAACCAAACCCAAACAUAUAAUAUCCGUUAUAUGCGGCUUUCAUGUGUUAUGUAGUAUUUUGAAAGAAAUUGGUGUUCCAUUAUAAAACUAAUUGACAAUAUUCGGAAUGAUGCACUUAUAAUCUCAAAGCAAGGUUUCUCCUUUCGCCGAUGUGAGAUUCUUUUACCUUUGCAUCCUCACACGUCCUCUCAUGUGUGGUGAAUUUUCAAGUCAAACACGUAGACAACACACACAUGGAUAACACAAAUUGGCGAAUUGGAGCACAUGUAGCCAUUGGGAUUCACACUUGGGCCAACUUGGCUUUGACACUAUGAAGGAAGUUGAAGUUCUACCAUGAAACCAAUUGGUAAUAUGAGGAGUAACUCAACUUAUAAGCUCAUACAAGAUUUCUCUUUUCUCGGAUGUGAGACUUUUUUACUCUCACUUCCUCACAGUGUUACUAAUUCAAAAAGUUUCACAUAAUUAGGGUUUUGCUUACUUGAAAGUAAUACAAACGUUUGGCUUUCACUACUUAGUAAUAAACCCUAACCACAUAGUGCAUAUUAGGAUCAGCAGAAGUGCAGCUAUUAUUAUCACAUCAUAUGCUUUAAACAUUUGAUCUCUCUAUCAUUUUUUUGUAUAUUUUUACUUGUGCAGGAACUUCCUCAAACACAGGAAGGUCAAUAAUUUUGAAUCAAAAUAGAAUAAGAAUAGUGUUCAAAGCAGCAUGUGCAACCGCGGCAUAGUCACAGUGGGAUCAUCAAUAUAUGGAAAAUCAAAUGCCAAUUACACUGGCCAUGUUACAUCACAUAAAAUAAUUAGAAUUUAGAUCAACAAGGCAAUUCUAAAUUCUUUAAUUACAAAAACAAGCUUGUGAUGAUUACGAUGAGAUCGGUAUGAAUUUGUGCUCAUAGAAUUUGACUAAUUUGACUUUUUAAAUCACAAUUACAACCUAUUAUUGAGCAAGAUAAUACAAUUUUAAACAAUGGUGCAACUUUGCUUAGUUUCACCUUGCACCAUCCUAGUUUAGGCUUUUAGUACGUAGUAAUAGUUUGGUUUCUGUCUUUUUUUUUUUCUUUUUCUAAAUGACAAUUCAUUAUACAAAAAUUACGAAUUCUUACACUAUUGGUUCCUCCAUUAGUGUAACAGAAAGCUAGCUAUAUUGUAUCACUUCUUUUUUUUCAAAAGGGGAGAUAAUUGGUGGCAAUCCACAGUUAUCCAUCUCUUCUGAAUCCGAAGAGGUCAUGUGGAGAAUUUCAUCUUACCUGUAGCUACAAUCAAGCAAAAAUAUAUUGUAUGGUAUCAUAGCUUGACCCUUUUUUUCUUGUAUAAAGUCAUAUAGAAGAAAAAUAACAAAAUUUUCCCAUAAAAUUUCAGCUUUAUUUGGAUUCCCGCGCGCUGUUGCCAUCGACAAAGGAAAGUUGGAGCGCGUCGACUUAAAAAGUUUAAUCUUGCACGAGAAUUUAUUUCUUGCGCGAUACCUUGAUCAUCCAUCCAUCACAAUCUCUCGAAAUCCAAGGCCCCAUGCGAAUAGCAGUCCCUCUUUGCAGCCAUUAAUUCAGUUGCACGAGAGCUUAGAUGUCAUCGGCUUGGUUCCUUCCUUCCACCUAGCUUUUCAUAUGACCAGGUUAUAGACUGAAGUUUCUGAUACUAUCCUAGUCCAGUAGAGGUCCAACUGAAAAAGGUCAGAGCCCAUCCUAGCCUGGCCACAUAUACUGGUGCAUUUGUUACACUAGAUUAUUUCGAACUAGACUAGUUUUAGAGAUUAAGUUCGAUUGGCUUGACAUGAACUAAGUAAUAAAAAAGGUCGUACCCAGUGCACAAGGCUCCCGCUUUACGCAGGGUCUGGGAGAGGUGAAUGUCGGCUAGCCUUACCCCCAUUUUAUGGAGAGGCUGCUUCCAAGUCUCGAACCCGAGACCUACCGCUCAUGGGCGAAGGCACUUGCCAUCGCACCAAGUGCGACCUCUUACAUGAACUAAGUAAUAUAAGAAUGAAACGUUUGAUGCAGUAUCAGCCUAAGUCACAGACUAACUUAUUUUUAGAACUUAAAUAUAUUUUUUUGUUACUUUUUAAUCAUCUUAUCAAUAAAUUAUAAAUUUUAACCCAAAUAUUUUCACUUCAUUUAACCCAAUUUCAAUUCCGCUUGCGCACACGCGUUCGUAGUGACAAAUACUACACGAAUACGCUAAAAUAAUAGCUCAUACGUGUCACGACAUGAGGGUCAACCAAAGUCAACAUUCUCGCCUAUAGGGGAUUUUGGUAAAUUCCCACCUUUCAAAAUAAAAUACCAUAUAGUUAGAGAUGGGUCCUAACAAGGUACUUUCUGGAGGUAAUAGCUUCAUGGCUUCAAAUGGAGUUACUGAAAUCCUAUACUGUCUUGCAAAAUGCAUCACGACUUUAGGGAGCAUGCCAACAUGUUAGGGUUGUAACUUUUAAAAUAUUGGAUUCUACUGUGUUAUACAUAGUAAGGUAAACAAAAGCUGGGUGAAAUAUAUAUGCAAUCUUUCUGGCAGAUGUUCGCAUUUUUUUCUUUCCAAGUUUUCCUGUUGAUGUGCUUCUGGCAGCUUUUCAAUUUCGGUGAUUCUAAAUUCUCAAAACAAACAUUGAUGCAAUGAUGCUGCCGCAAGAGUUCUAUUUGCAACUCAUAUGUAUCCCUUUUCAUAAUUUCUCAAGUUCCAAAGGUGCUUGCAUUGACUAAAUACUUGCAGAUGCAGGUUGAGAGUUUCAAAUUUGUCUCAGCUGCAGGAUGUCGAGGAAACCGAACCGGGUUGUAAUAGCAGCAUUAACUUCAGUAGUAGUUAUUCAGGAGAACAAACGGUGCUUGAAUAUAGUGCUUUGCCGAUUAUUCCAGUUACUUGGUUCAGUUGAGAAAUGCAGAUGUGUGUUGGAGUUGAUGAGCCUCAUAAAAGAUAUCAACUUGAAAAUAAGAAUGCUUGAACACAGUGCAGUUUGUAGGCUCAACUCAGUUAACAAUGAGUGAUGCCAACAUAUUCCAUUUAUAGGGAUUACAAGGUAUUCAGUUACAAGGAGAUUUAUCUCAUAUAUCAAAACAUUUACAAGAUAAACAUAUUUGAUAAUUAUCAUGAUCAAAAUUGUGCAACAGACUUGAUAGAGAAGAGGUUGAUGUUUAUCUAAACUCUACUUACAGGUUUGAAUGUUAUACGUGGGAAAUGGUGUUGCUGUUAACAAGUUUGGCUGACUGGAUUGCUGAUGUGGAUUGGACUGCUGACAUGGUUUAUCACAGCCCCUCAAGUUAAGCGGGCGGGAACAGAUAGGAAGCUUGGAUAGCAGAAACAGAAAUUGUUGGGAUGAUAAGCCGUGAAAAGAUCAGCGAGCUGAUCGGUGGAAGCAACAUAACCAACAACAAUUUCUUUUUUAGUAACUUUUUCACUCACAUAAUGGUAAUGAACUUCGACAUGGCGCAUCCUAGCUUGAUAGACUGGAUUAGAGGCAACAACAAUAACGCUUAUAUUAUCACACCAGAGACGUGGAGGAGAAAGAUGAAGAUGAAGAUGAGGAUCACGGUUUUUGAACUAAGAGAGAGUUGCUGAAGUGUAAGUAAGUUGACGGUAUUCCGCUUCUGUGCUAGAGCGAGAGACCCCUUUUUGUUUCUUAGAACUCCACGAAAUGAGAUUGCUGCCAAGGAAUAUACAUUAGCCUUCAGUGCAUUGUCGAUCAUCUAGGUCCCCAGCGUAAUCAGCGUGGGCAUACGCAGUAAGAGUGAGGGGACUCGCAAUGUAGACAAGCCCAUGAUCAUGCAUUGCUUUUAAGUAUUGAAUGAUACGUUUGACAGCAGCCUAAUGAGUGGUUGUUGGUGAAUGCAUAUAUUGGCAAACUUGGUUAACUACAAAAGCAAUGUCAGGGCGUGUGACGAGAAGGUAUUGAAGAGCACCAACAACACUUUUGAAUUUUGUUACAUUAGAAAGAGGUUCCCCUUCAUAAAGACUAAGACAUCGACUAGUAAGAGCAGGAGUUGAAGUUGGCUUGCAAUCGGUCAUCUUGGUAUGACAGAGAAGGUCCAUAAUGUAUUUGGAUUGAGAAAGAUACAUGCCAGUAGGUGUACGAGUGACCUUCAUGCCAAGAAAAAAAUUAAGUAGCCCAAGAUCCUUCAUAGAGAAUAGUCUUCCAAGUUGAGUAAUGAAACUUGAAAUUUGAGCAGCAUCAUUCCCAGUGACUAAAAUGUCAUCAACAUAAAUCAAAAGAUAAAUGAUAGUGGCACCAUUGAAGAAUGUAAACAUGGAGGAGUCAGCAAUGGAAGCAAUAAAGCCUAAGUCCUCAAAGUGAUGAGAGAAACACUGAAACCACGCCCAAGGUGCUUGUUUAAGGCCGUGUAAAGAACGACGAAGCUUGCAAACAUGAGUAGGGUAUUGAGGAUCUACAAAGCCUGAUGGUUGUCUCAUAAACACUUCUUUAACCAGUGUGCCAUGAAGAAAUGCAUUUUGGACGUCAAGUUAACGAAUAGGCCAAUUGAAGUGAAGAGCAAUGGACAGUAUGAGACAGAUUGUUGCAUGAGUCACAACGAGACUAAAAGUUUGCCCAUAAUCGAGACCUUCAUGUUGAUGAAAAACAUUGGCAACAAGACGUGCUUUGAGCCGUUCCGUUCAAUGGAACCAUCAGACUUACGCUUGAUGCGAUACACCCAUUUGUUUGGAAGAACAUUGAAAUGUGGCUGACAAGGAAUGAGAGUCCAGGUACCUGUGCGUUGGAGUGCAUUAAACUCAUCUGCCAUUGCUUACCGCCACUCAGGAUACUUGUUUGUUUGACUGAAACAUGUAGGUUCAACCAGGUUAUCAACAUUAGUAGCAAGUAAAACAUACUUAUGAUUGGGUUGUUGAAUCUCAUCCUUACCACGUGUGACCAUAAAGUGAGAGGAAGUAGUUAGUGGUGGGUGCUGACUUGUUGAAGACUGCCUUAUAUUCGAACUUGGGAAAAAGUUGGUGGGUGUGGGACCUAACAGGGAUGGGUCUAAUGUAGUGGUGAUAAGAUUGGAUAAUGUAGUGGUGAUAAGAUUGGAUGAAAGGGUAGGAAGAAGAGGAGCCUGAGGACUGGCGUGGCAGGAUAUGAGAGUGGCAGUGGGAGUAGAAAUGGUGGGGUUAGUAGGUAGAAUAGUGGGAGUGAGGUGUGGAUUGAUGGGAUAACCUUAACUAGGAUAGUGUGGCCCUAUUUCAAUCGUGGCAGGAAGUGUAUCAGAGGAAGAAGACGGGACAAUAGGAAUGGAGUCUUUGUAUGGAAAAGAAUUUUCAUAAAAAACAACAUGACGAGAUAAAAAUAUGUGACCUGUAGAUGGAUCUAAACAACAAUAACCUUGUUGGUUCAAUGAAUACCCGAGGAAUAUGCACUUUUUAGAAUGAAAUUGCAACUUGUUAAUGUUGUAGGGACGUAAGUAUGGAAAACAUGCACAACCAAAUACUUUAAGAAAAUCAUAUUGUGGAGAUUUGGAAAAUAAUUUGUGAUAUGGAGAAUCAUUUUGUAAAACUUUUGUGGGCAACCAAUUUAUAAGGUAAUUAGCGGUAUGAAAGACUUCAACCAAAAAAGAUGCAGGCAAAAAAGCAUGGGCAAGAAGUGUAAGUCCGAUUUCGACCAAAUGUCGGUGUUUUCUUUCGGCUAAGCUGUUUUGUUCCAGAUGAUGUGGGCAAGUGAAACGAUGAUGUAUGCCAUGAGUAGCCAAAAAAAUUUGAAAAUUAUUAUUGAUAUAUUUUCCACCUCCAUCCAUUUGAAAUGAUUUGAUUGUGGUACUGAACAUGUUUUCCACUAAUUUUUUAAAAGUAACAAAUGUUGCAAAUACUUCAGAUUUUAAUUUUAAAGGGUAAAUCCAAGAAUAACGAGAGAAAUCAUUGAUAAAAAUAACAUAAUAUUUGCAUCCAUUAAUAGAAUGGGACGGUGACGUCCAUACAUCAGAGUGUAUCAAUUAUAAAGGAAAUGACGACAAAGAAGUAGAUAAUGAAAAUGGUAAUUUAUGACUCUUGCCAAGUGGACAUGAGUGACACACUUCAUUGGUGACUUUACCAAAAAUGGGCAAUUUAUUCCUACCUACAAGAAAUUUAAAUAGAACUUGAUGGAUGUCCUAAACGAGAAUGCCAAAUAUUAUCUGACACACGAGCACCGAUACAUGCAAAAACGCCAUUAUUGUUUGAGAUGGAAAGACUGGAAAAAUGAGAGAAUCCAUUCCUACUCUGGCCGUGCAAAAGGAUCUUUCCCGUUUGCAUGUCUUGAACAUGAUAAGAGGUAGGAGACAAAGUUAGAGAACACUUGUUAUUGGUGGUAAAACGAUUGAUGGAGAUGACAUUAGUUGUGGUAGUAGGGCAAUAUAGGGUGUUUGAUAAUUUAAAGGUUUGAUUAGGUGUUCGAAUAUAGGAAUGUCCAACUUUUGAAAUAUGCAAACCUGUGCCAGCAACUACUCCAUUCACAUGAUCAGUUCCAUGAUAGUCACAAGCAUUAGGGACUUGAGCUAAGUCGUUAGUGAUGUGGGUGUUGGCGCCAUAAUCAAAGAGCCAGUUCUGAACAGUAGGGGCACUGCCAGUGCCUGAUGAUGGAUCAACUGUAGCAAAAGCUUGAAGAUGAUAGCCACAAACAUGUCCCUCGUAGGCCAUAUUUAGACGAUUGAAACAAUUAAUGGCAGCAUGGCUGUGACGAUGACAAAUUUGGCAUUGAACUCUCCCAGAAGAAUAAAAACCAUUACUUCCAGAACCACCAUUGGAAGGUACAACGCCAAUGACUCCAUCAUUGUUGGACCGGUGUUGAGGAGUUGAGGGAUAAGCAAACUUGAUCCUCUAGGUUUAUGGUAAUUCCCAGAGUCAAAAUUACAACCACCAGAAGAAGAUCCAUGUCCACCUUGAUAGGAAGAACCACAACCCUGGAAACCACCACCGCACAUCCUUCUCGCUGAGCAACAAGAACAGUCGGUGUAGCUUCAAGAGGAAGAAUGUGUUGACUCUUUUGGCAUCGCUUAACGCUGAGAAGAAGGAACUCUAAUGAAGCAUAGGAAAUGGCUUCCUUUCGAACCUGUGCAGAUGCAAUAAUACUCUCAUAAGUCUGGCCAACGUUAUUAAGUACAAUGGCCACUAAGUUCGUAUCAGAGAUAGGAUAACCGGAGAGGAAGAGAGUAUCGGUGAUGUAAUUGACAUGAUCCAAAAAAUCAGCAAUGGACAAUGCGAUAGGUGUUCAUUAACUCACUUCGGAGCUGAAGGAGACAGCCAGUAGACGGGGAAACAUAUCAUUCCUUAAAAUAGGUCCAGGUAAAGUAGUAGCUAGUCUUACCAAUGAGAGUGGCAAGAACUGUAUGAUGGACAAAACUAUUUAACUAAGACAUCACCAUGGCGUCUUGUUGGAUCCAGGUCUUGUAGGCCGGAUUAACUUCAGCAGUAAGGUUGACGACAAUAUCUUUGAGGAAGGCAGAAGGGCAAACACCGGUUCCAUUGACAAAAGGAACCAAGUUCCAGCUACGAAGAAAAUGCAACAUAUGUGCUUGCCACAGAGGAUAGUUACUACAGUCCAACUUGAUAGUGAGGAGAUUUGGAGACAUUGGGAAUGAAUGGGGAAGGGAUAGGUAAAGGGGAUCCAGUUUCAAAGGCCAUUGAAGAAAAAAAAAAAUUAGGGUGUUUUGAAGUUGUCGUUAGACUGGGCUCAGUGAUACCAUAAAAGAUAUCAACUUGAAAAUAAGAAUGCUUGAACACAGUGCAAUUUGAAGGUUCAACUCAGUUAACAAUGAGUGAUGUCUUCCAUUUAUAGGGAUUACAAGGUAUUCAAUUACAAGGAGAUUUAUCUCCUAUAUCAAAACAUUUACAAGAUAAACAUAUUUGAUAAUUAUCAUGAUCAAAACUAUGCAGCAGACUUGACAAAGAAGAGGUUGAUGUUUAUCCAAACUCUACUUGCAGGUUUGAAUGUUAUACACGAGAAAUGGUGUUGUUGUUAUCAAGUUUGGCUGACUGGAUUAUUGAUGCAGAUUGGACUGCUGACAUGGUUUAUCACCUCACUGGUGGACGCUGGUCUCCCCAAUCAUUAGAGGACCUUUAUUGUUUAUACAGUAGAUGAUAUCAAACUCUUGACCUAGAGAACAAAUUUUUUUGUUGUAUGGAAAAUUGCCUAUGUUGGAUAUAGUUGUUGGGUGCCCAUCUUCUAUAAUUUAAUUUAAAUCUUAGUGGUGAAUAAUCACACCUUUUCACUUCAUAAACCCUACCUCAGGUGGCAACUAAGUAGAAUAUGCACUAGUGGAGCUAAGGUGGGUGCAAUGGAAUUCAUUGACCCCAAUAAGUUUGUUGGGCCACUCUUUUUUUUUUUUUGGGUGGAAAGAAGAAAAAAUGGGAAGAGGCAUUGCUUUGGUUUUUCGAAGAAUAAGAAAAAGAAAGGUUGAUGAGUUUGGUUUUAUAAUGGGAGAGAAGGUAGAUCCUUUUGUUUUAGCAGCAUCCAAUAUAUAUUGAGGCAUUUUCUUUGCCCAGGGCUGGUCCAGAGAUUUUUGAGGUCUGGGGCGAUGUAAAAAAAAGUGCCCUAACUUCAUGUAAGAAAAUUAUUUAUUUUCACACAUAAGACAUCGAAAAAAUUAUACUUAGAAAAACACUUCAAACUUAAUAAUUUAGAAACACAGAAAGACUAAUUUAUUUUGUAUUGAGAGAGGGAAACAAAAAAACUUACGGGCUUACAAGUAGAUAGAUGAUGAGUUUUGUUUUCCAUUUGAGCUUUGAAUGUGUUUUUGAAUCAAUCGUGAGGUGUUUUUUUUCUUAUUUACUAACCAUGUCAAUAUGGGACUAAAAAAUAAUGAUGUUUUCAAGUCUUUAAUUGAUAUGUAUUAUUAAUGAAUGGGCACUAAAUUAAACAUUUUGAUGACACGUCAUAUAAUUUGCAAAUUGGUCUACAUAUUAUUCUUUGUUGAAGAUUAGACUUGAAUUAAAACGAAUAUUUAAAAAUAACAACCCUACCUACUAGAUAGUAACUAAAAAUAAAUUAACAACCAAACAAAAAUUUGUAAAAAUUGAAAAGAAUAAACAUGUACAUAGCAUUUCGAACUUAUGACCUCUUGUUAAUUUUAAACAACAAAAAUCAUUGUUUCUAAUUAAACUUCUUGAUCCUUUAACCAAAUUUUAUAAAUUUAUACUCUUAUAAAAAGAAAUUUGUAAAAAAUAGAAAGUAAAUAAGCACACAUGGUGUUUUGAACCCAAGACCUCCUCAUUAUUUUCAAAUGACAAACCACCAUUUCUAGUUAAAUUUAUGUGUCUUUGAACCAAAUUUUAUAAAUUUAUACUCUUAAAAAAACAUAUAUAAAUAUACCACCCUAACAAUUUUGGUGUCCUUAAUUUUUUUGGGCCCUGGACGGUCGCCCUGCCUGCACUGGGCCUGGGCCAACCCUGGCUAUGCCUUUUGGUUUUGAACAACAACAGAAGAGAGAAGAGCUGUCUAUCGACAGCUCCAAUUUGUGAGCAGAGAAAAGAGAUGAGAGCCACACCAAGGAGAGCAUUCGGCUCUCCCAUUUGAAAAAAAAAAGCUCAUGGGCCUACCAUUUUGAGAGAGAAUUAGAUGCAAAGAGUGAGAAAAACAUGGGGCACUAUUUAAAGAAGGCAACAAUUGCUGAUUUAGUGUUCUCGUUGGAUUACUUCAUUUUUUGCUCUCCUUUGAGUAAUCACUCAUAUUGGUGCUAGAGAAACUUGUUAUGUAUUUUUGUAUUCUUUACUUGUUCUUUGUAUGAGUGAGAGCUAUUGGUGUAUGUGGGAUUUCAUAUUUGAGUUUGAAAUCUAUUUUUAAAUGAAAGUAUGAUCGCUUUUUGAAAGCUAUUUUUUUUUACUGCAUUAUUGUAAAUUCCUAGCUCCGCCACUGAAAAUAUGGUCACUUUUUUUGCAAAUCGUCAUGUGUGGCCUAAGAGGUUGGGCCUUACAUGUGAGAUGGUCUAUUGUCCAAACACCAAACAAAGGCAAAGACAUGAGGUAAGACAAGAGAGUAUGCCAUGGUGGAUCUGAAAAUUUCUCCUUCUUGCAAAGGUAGAAUUAGGGAACUUUUUGUAUCUAAGUCAGAGGAAUAUGUUGAUUCGACCGUCGGACGUCAGAAUUUCUUCUUACCCUAAGCCCCCAAACGUUAAUAACCUUUCUCGUGAGUACAUUUUUGCUCACCACCCUCAAAUGGUGGUAAUGCUCACCACCAUAUUUAUCACCGUUAAAUAAGUUUGAAUUUCGAUAUUUGUGUGGUGAUGAGAUACCAAUCGAAGUGUGGAAAGUUUUGGGAGAGACAGGUAUAACAUGGCUCACUGACCUUUUCAAUAGGAUUUUGAAAACGAAGAAGAUGCCAAAUGAGUGGCGAACAAGCACUUUAGUGCCUAUCUACAAGAAUAAGGGCGACGUACAAAAUUGCAUGAACUAUAGGGGUAUUAAGCUAAUGAGUCAUACAAUGAAGCUUUGGGAGAGAGUCAUUGAGCAUAGAUUGAGGCAAGAGACACGGGUUUCGGACAACCAAUUCGGGUUCAUGCCAGGGCGCUCAACCAUGGAGGCAAUCUAUCUCUUACGAAGAUUGAUGGAAAGAUAUAGAGAUGGGAAAAAGGAUUUACACAUGGUCUUUAUAGAUUUGGAGAAAGCGUACGAUAGGGUCCCAAGAGACAUUCUUUGGAGGAUUUUAGAGAAGAAAGGAGUACGAGUAGCAUAUAUCCAAGCUAUAAAGGAUAUGUAUGAAGGAGCAAAGACUGCCGUAAGAACUCAUGAAGGACAAACUGAAAGCUUUCCCAUAACUGUAGGAUUACAUCAAGGCUCAUCCUUAAGUCCUUACCUUUUUGCGUUGGUAAUGGAUGAGUUAAUAGGACAUAUUCAAGAUGAUAUUCCUUGGUGUAUGCUUUUCGCAGACGAUAUAUAGUGUUGAUAGAUGAAACUCAGGAAGGGGUAAAUGCAAAGCUUAACCUUUGGAAAGAAGUGUUGGAAUCUAAAGGUCUUCGCCUAAGCCGAUCAAAGACAGAAUAUAUGGAGUGCAAGUUCAGUGCAAAUGGAGGCCAAAACGAGUUAGGGGUGAGGAUCGGUGAUCAAGAAAUACCAAAGAGCGAUCGUUUUCGUUACCUAGGAUCUAUCUUGCAAAAGAACGGAGAAUUAGAUGGAGAUCUCAACCAUAGAAUACAAGCUGGAUGGAUGAAGUGGAAGAGUGCAUCCGGCGUGUUGUGUGACCGCCGUAUGCCACUGAAGCUCAAGGGAAAAUUUUAUAGGACGGCAAUAAGGCCGGCGAUGCUGUAUGGCACAGAAUGUUGGGCGGUGAAGCAUCAACACGUACACAAAAUGGGUGUAGCGGAGAUGAGGAUGCUUCGUUGGAUGUGUGGGCACACGAGAAAGGAUAAGAUUAGGAAUGAGGAUAUCCGGGGUAAAGUAGGAGUAGCCGAAAUUGAAGGAAAGAUGAGAGAAAAUCGGUUACGGUGGUUUGGACAUGUGCAAAGAAGGCCUACUGACGCUCCGAUUAGAAGAUGCGACUAUGGGACAGAGGUUCAGGGCCGAAGGGGUAGAGGAAGACCUAAGAAAACUUUGGAAGAGACUCUAAGAAAAGACUUAGAGUACUUGGAUUUAACGAAGGACAUGACACAGGACCGAGCACAAUGGCGUUCUAAGAUUCAUGUAGCCGAUCCCACUCAGUGACUUGGAUUUUUCCAAGUCUCCAACCGAGAAGUUUUCCUCACUCAGGAAAUUAAGGGAACACUACCUCAACCUACAUGCUCCACUCACAAAGCUCCAACAAAAGAAAAUUCAAAAGAACUUAGAGAAGAAGGCUUUGGUGUAUUUAACACAAUACGUUGAAAUGAAGGAAAGCUUAUUUAUUGAUAUCCCGAUAAGCUACAAAUAUGUACAUAUACAUGAGUCAAAAUAAACAAACAAGAGAGAGCCUUCACAAAGGUUGCUUAGGAGAAGUUGCAGCAGUCGGUAGAGCCCCAGAAAGAGAAGGCACCGGAGGGGGAUCAUUCGGAGCCUCAGUACUGGACAGAACCCUAGAAGGAGGAGGCAUCAGAGGUUGAUCAUUUGGAGCUUCAUUACGCGGUACAGCCCCAGAAGACGAAGGCAAUAAAUGCCUUUGGAACAAACCCACAAAUCUCUGAUGAUCAAGUAAAACCUGACCAUCAGAUUCCUUCAUCUGGUCCAGCUUCCUCUUCAUGUUUGUAGCAUAGUCAUGUGCGAGACGGUGCAACUGUUUAUUCUCAUGCUUGAGCCCUCUAAUCUCCUGUUUGAGACUCAUCACUUCAGCCGCCAAUGAUUCAACUUGGCGGGUUCGAGCAAAUAGGCGUUGGGCCAUAUUAGACACAGAACCUGCACACUGAACACUGAGAGCCAGAGAAUCCUUAACAGCUAACUCAUCAGAUCGUUUGGAAAGUAGUCUGUUAUCUUUGGGAGUGAGAAGGUUCCUGGCCACCACCGCAGCGGUCAUAUCAUUCUUCAUAACGGAAUCCCCAACGGUAAGAGGACCAGUAGGGGAGACGAAGGAUGGGCGCCAUAUGUUGUCUGGAGAAGGCGGGGCUGCCUCUUCAACAAGGUUCAAGUCAAAACGACGGUCGGAGGGGCCAGACAUUUUCAAAGGUGUUGAAGAGAGAAGAGGUCGAACAAAUCAAGAUCUUAGAAGUGUAAGAAUGGAGCUUCUACUGGGGGAGAUUCAAGUGUGCUUUGGAACUUAAUGCCAACCCCUAUAAAAAAUCUGCACUCGACGGAGCUUCAGAAAUCGAAGAGGCGCCUGCUCAGAAAUCGAAAGAGGCGUUUGCUUUCUCAAAAGCUGGGCUGCUCAGAGACCACGAGGGUCGAUCUCAGAAAAUCGAAGAGGCGUCUGCUUUCUCAAAAGUUGGGCUGCUCAAAGACCACGAAGGCCGAUCUCAGAAAUCGAAGAGGCGCUUGCUUUCUCAAAAGUUGGGCUGCUCAGAGACCACGAGGGCCGAUCUCAGAAAUCGAAGAGGCACCUACUUUUCCAGCCUUGGCAGCACCUGUCACACGCACACUCAGCUUUGCGGAAAUUAUGGGCAUUCUGUCGAAGACUUCUGGUGAAGUAGAAAGCACAUGAGUCUUACUGUUCAAUCACCCACUUCCCACACGCAAAUAGUAGCUCAUGUGUAUCACAGAUAACUUUGCCAAAGUUCUCUGCCAAAGUUGAGCACGUGAAGCUUGCAGCUUCCACUACAUCGCUCUGACCAAGACGGGUCAAAGAAUAGCAAAGAAACAGCACUAACAAAGUUUAGACACAUAAAUUUUGAAGGUCUAGCUACCCCAUAUUAUUACCCACAAGGGUAAAGGAACAGUAUCACUGCUGGAUAAUUGGAAAGUCCCUGUGUGUCAACCUCUGUGUUUCGUGGCAAGGUAGACUAGCAAACAUGCCCAACCUUUACUCACAUUCGAGAAAACACUCCCAACAAGAUUGCUUGCUCCAAAAUCGAAGAGGCACCGUCCUCCGAAUCUCGAGAGCCAGACUCCCAACAUGACUACUUUCUCAAAAAUCGAAGAGAGGGUAAAGGAACAGUACCAUUGCUGGAUAAUUGGAAAGUCCCUGUGUGUCAACCUCUGUGCUUCGUGGCAAGGUAGACUAGCAAACAUGCCCAACCUUUACUCACAUUCGAGAAAACACUCCCAACAAGAUUGCUUGCUCCAAAAUCGAAGAGGCACCGCCCUCCGAAUCUCGAG
Molecule: long non-coding RNA, 31560 nt
Filed under: Malus domestica (apple)
Lineage: Eukaryota; Viridiplantae; Streptophyta; Magnoliopsida; Rosales; Rosaceae
Description: long non-coding RNA (MDOM_LNC016231)
Source: RNAcentral